This 777-nucleotide long non-coding RNA is filed under the name Monodelphis domestica (gray short-tailed opossum). RNAcentral's name for it is "lncRNA (ENSMODG00000045376.1)". Lineage: Eukaryota; Metazoa; Chordata; Mammalia; Didelphimorphia; Didelphidae. The record is from RNAcentral.
CCUGAGGUCAUAUUUGAACCCAGAACCUCCCAUGUCUGAGUCUCAGUCCUCUGGGCCAUCUAGGCACCUCUCAAUUGGGUGCCUGGAAGGAUAGUGACAUGAUAUUCAAAGUCACACCUCUAGUUCGGUCAUCUCCUUUCAUAGAUAAGGAAACUGAGGCAAAGAAUGACUCACAGCCAUUAAGUCUCUGAGGCAGGAUUUGAAUCCUGGUGGAACCCUCUGAUUCUAAAUCUCUUUCUCUUUGUACUACACAAUACUGCCUGACUGGGUAGGGGAACUACUUCUAUUCCUUAUUACUACUGUUGCCAGGGACUCUGACAUUUAUUUCCUGUUUGUUUGUCUGCAGGAAGUGAAGGACAGGACUGGGGAAGGGGUUGCAGGAGGAGCAGGAGAUGUGAGAAGAACAAAUCUCCCCUUCUGAAGCCAGAUCAGCUCCAGGACCCAUCCCACAUGCAUCCUUCUGCCUUUUAAUGAUCUCUAUGCAUGCUGGGAAGACAUCUACUGCAGCUGUUUUCAAGGUUCGGGUGUUGCACCUGUAGGAAUAAGAAGAUACCAGAGCCCAGGGAAGCAGAGAAGAGAAAUACAGCCAAAACAAGGUGUCUUCUGCUAAGAGCUCAUUGGAGAGCUCUGAGAGAGCCAGCUGUAAUGAGAGCAUGGGCUAAUUAAAUAAAUAUUGGAAGACUGGGGUUCAAAACCCCCAAAUCUACUCCUUACUACCUUGAGGUAUGGGGAAUUACAUUCAAUAAACAUGUAUUCUUUAUUAUUGGGGUAGUAUUU